This 502-nucleotide ribosomal RNA is filed under the name uncultured bacterium. Its description in RNAcentral is "partial 16S ribosomal RNA". It matches the Rfam family "Bacterial small subunit ribosomal RNA", at positions 28 to 507 of the family's 1533-position model. The record is from RNAcentral.
GACGAACGCUGGCGGCGUGCCUAAUACAUGCAAGUCGAACGAACGGAGACUAGGUGCUUGCCCUUGGUCAAGGUGGGUGGCGAACGAGUGAGUAACACAUGACUAACCUACAUGAUUGUGGUGGAUAACAGUAAGAAAAGACAGCUAAUGACGCAUAGGACAUCGGAACGGAUGAUUAUUUGAGGAAGGGUGGGGCAAGCUAUAGCUAAGAGAUGGAGCCGCGGUGCAUUAGCUAGUUGGUAGGGUAACGGCUUACCAAGGCGAUGAUGCAUAGCCGACCUGAGAGGGUGAUCGGCCACAUUGGGACUGAGACACGGUCCAGACUCCUACGGGAGGCAGCAGUAGGGAAUCUUCCGCAAUGGGCGAAAGCCUGACGGAGCAACGCCGCGUGAGUGAUGAAGGUCUUCGGAUCGUAAAACUCUGUUAUUAGGGAAGAACAUAGGUGUAAGUAACUGUUAACAGCUUGACGGUACCUAAUCAGAAAGCCACGGCUAACUACGUG